Molecule: ribosomal RNA, 448 nt
Filed under: uncultured bacterium
Lineage: Bacteria
Description: bacterial SSU rRNA
Rfam family: Bacterial small subunit ribosomal RNA
Source: RNAcentral
GCCCAGACUCCUACGGGAGGCAGCAGUGGGGGAUAUUGCACAAUGGGGGAAACCCUGAUGCAGCGACGCCGCGUGUGGGAAGACGGUCCUCUGGAUUGUAAACCACUGUCCCCAGGGACGAAAAUGACGGUACCUGGGGAGGAAGCUCCGGCUAACUACGUGCCAGCAGCCGCGGUAAUACGUAGGGAGCGAGCGUUGUCCGGAAUUACUGGGUGUAAAGGGAGCGCAGACGGCAGUGCAAGUCUGGAGUGAAAGCCCGGGGCCCAACCCCGGAACUGCUCUGGAAACUGUGCGGCUAGAGUACUGGAGGGGCAGGCGGAAUUCCUAGUGUAGCGGUGAAAUGCGUAGAUAUUAGGAGGAACACCGGUGGCGAAGGCGGCCUGCUGGACUGCAACUGACGUUGAGGCCCGAAAGCGUGGGGAGCAAACAGGAUUAGAUACCCGCGUAU